AACGACAGGGUAUUCUCCCCAUUACCUGCUGUUUGGGGUCCACCCACAUCUACCCGUUGAUGCAUUGUUGGGCCGGGAGGAAGUGAAGGAUGACAAACUGGACUGGUUAGCAGUGCACCAGGAGCGUCUCCAGGAUGCACAUGCCAGAGCCAGAGAAUUUGCCGAACGGAAGGCUGCAGAGAGAGUGGUUCAGCAGCAAGGAAAGGUGUUCUGUCCACCUGUUGACAUCGGACAGUUUGUGUAUCUCCGUUACCGACCACCAGGAAGGAAUAAAAUUCAAGAUGCCUGGGCAGCCCCUGUGUACAAAGUGGUUGAUAUCCAAGGGACAACAUACACAGUAGUGCCACUGGAAGGAGGGCCGGUGAAAAGAGUCCACAGAUCUAACUUGAGGCCAUGCGUGGGGUCUAUACCUGCACCCAACCCAAGGCUACGUGACCAGGAAGUCAGUUCUGCAGAUGAGCACCAAGUGUCUGAUACGGAGCUUGAGCAUCCAGAGUUUGCCUUGAUGGAGGAGGUCCAGUACCCAAUGGAGCUGCCAGUGGCUCAGGGACCUGGGAACUUGGUUCCGACGGUCAACGAGCCUGGAAACCAAUUGGAGAAUGGAACUGAAAAUAUGGGUGAGGAUCUGCUAGGGCAAGAGAGCAGCGACAACCCUGAUGACCUCGAGGUGGAGCCAGCAGCUUACCUUCCACCUGGGCCAGGAAGCAUUGGAUUCUCCAGUGAAGAACCGGUGGCAAAACCUGUUCCAGCUCCUAGGAAAGGAAAGAAAGAGAAAGCGGAGGCCGGUCCACCCACACCUGCUAUACGCAGGAGUAGGAGAGAAACUGCAGGGGUCCACACAAACCCAUUUAAUCUACCUAGGUCAGCAUGCAAUGCAGUAUCCUUCAGUCCAGAUGUACUCUCCCAGGUGUUAGCCGGUAUGGUUCUCUACACCACCAAACUCAGGGGAAUGGUGGAUGAGCAGGGGGUCACCGAGGACGUUGACUCGUAGCAGGGGAGAAUGUAGCCAAGUGAACUAAUACUACACAUGGAAAGGGUUUAAAAAGAGGGAAUUGUGUUUUUGACUGGUUGCCUGUCUACCGGAGGUCUGUUGUAGGGUUGUCAUGGUGAUGACUAGACCUCGCGUUUUGGGGGUAUACUGUCCCUUUAAGAGCCGCCGUAAGCCAGAGCACGCAUGCACUCAAGUUUGUGUCACACUGAGCGCUGUGAGCGGGAGCACUGGAGAGUUAGAGACUGCAAAAGAUUCUGUGGCUAGCUACACACGAGUUCUUAACGCGCGACGGGUGCAUGUUUAAUGGUCACGUGCUGUGAAAGGGACUGAAGAGCGGGUUGGCAGGGGAGAUCACUUGCUGUGUGAUUCCUGCGUGUGUACUUGUCCUAGCACAGUAGCUGUGUGGAGAAACCGAAGUCACUACUGUUGUCUAUACUGUUUGGAUUUAACAUGUACAUAUGAUAGUUACUGUUGUCUCAGACCCUGAAAGGCAGUUUAGGCUGAGCCAGUGGAAUAGUUAAAUUUUGCCGUUUCACUCAAAACUACAGAAUUAAAACUGUGCUCCUCCGAGUACAGUCGGAGAAUAAAAAAGCCCACAAAAGAGUAUUUCCUGUGUCCUGUCUCAUUCCCCAUGACCGGGCCACAUAUAUGCAGAUACACAGCGAUCAUUUACAUUCAAAGGAGAGCCCUCGAUUUGUUUUUAUUUAACCUUAAAUCUUGUUCCAGUGAACCCUCCAGUCUCAAGUCCUCAAAACGCUGGAGUCGAGCCCAGAGAAGAGGAACUAACUGCCUGACUGAGUAAAUGCCUCC
This is a long non-coding RNA of Astatotilapia calliptera (eastern happy), 1801 nucleotides long. The record is from Ensembl. Lineage: Eukaryota; Metazoa; Chordata; Actinopteri; Cichliformes; Cichlidae.